CGGUAAUGUGUAUAUUACAACAGAAGGGAAUCAAAUAGAUUUUUUUUACUCUUCUAUUUUGCCCUGAUUUCAUGAUAAAUAAUAAAUGCUGAGAAAAAAUAUUACUAUAAUUUAUUUUGUAAUUAAAUUAAAAAAAACGAAUCAUUAAUAUAUAUUUAGCGAUUUGGGCUUCUACCACGAUGUGUUUCAUUUCAUCUAAUGGAGGCAGCUUCCUGCUAUAUACACUCCCC
Molecule: long non-coding RNA, 230 nt
Filed under: Vigna radiata
Lineage: Eukaryota; Viridiplantae; Streptophyta; Magnoliopsida; Fabales; Fabaceae
Description: long non-coding RNA (VRAD_LNC004575)
Source: RNAcentral